Molecule: long non-coding RNA, 286 nt
Filed under: Mytilus galloprovincialis (Mediterranean mussel)
Lineage: Eukaryota; Metazoa; Mollusca; Bivalvia; Mytilida; Mytilidae
Source: RNAcentral
CAGAUCCUGCUCCACAUGCGGCACCCGUCGUGUUGCUUAUGUGAUAACAAAUCCGGUAAAAAGUCUAAUUCGGUAGGUCACAUUCAUGAAAGGGAAGGGGAUUGUAGUUACGACGUAAGGAACAUAUCCGAUAUCAUUUGUGAAAUGGUUAUUCCAUAACGGUCAACCAACUCGUGAUGGCGUCCGUAAAAUUUACGAAGGGAUGAUUUCAACUUCACCAUUUGGAAACUCUUGGUUUAAUAGCUUCCUUGUGAGCAGCAACCCUCUAUCAAGAAAAUCAUGAUAG